ACGAUUUGUCGGGGCCUCCGGGCCCCAACUCCAACCCUUUGUUUACUUCAAACGUUUGCUUCGGUGGGCCGGCGCUCCCGCCGCCGGCCUCUGGGCUGGAGAGCGCCCACCGACGGCGUCAACGAAACUCUGUUUGCACCUGUGAAAUCUGAGUCUUUUUUGUAAUGAAGCA
Molecule: unclassified non-coding RNA, 172 nt
Filed under: uncultured fungus
Lineage: Eukaryota; Fungi
Description: sequence contains ITS1, 5.8S rRNA gene
Source: RNAcentral